UACAGGGGGUGCAAACGUUGCUCGGAAUUAUUGGGCGUAAAGCGCGCGUAGGCGGCUACUUAAGUCGGAUGUGAAAGCCCUUGGCUCAACUGAGGAAGUGCACCCGAAACUGAGUGGCUUGAGUACUAAAGAGGGUCGCGGAAUUCCCGGUGUAGAGGUGAAAUUCGUAGAUAUCGGGAGGAACACCGGUUGCGAAGGCGGCGACCUGGGUAGAUACUGACGCUGAGGAGCGAAAGCGUGGGGAGCGAACAGG
Molecule: ribosomal RNA, 253 nt
Filed under: uncultured bacterium
Lineage: Bacteria
Description: partial 16S ribosomal RNA
Rfam family: Bacterial small subunit ribosomal RNA
Source: RNAcentral